GUAGGUGACCUGCGGAGGAUCAUUAA
This 26-nucleotide ribosomal RNA is filed under the name Ampelomyces quisqualis. RNAcentral's name for it is "partial 18S ribosomal RNA". Lineage: Eukaryota; Fungi; Ascomycota; Dothideomycetes; Pleosporales; Phaeosphaeriaceae. The record is from RNAcentral.